RNAcentral lists this unclassified non-coding RNA (326 nucleotides) under uncultured fungus. RNAcentral's name for it is "partial contains small subunit ribosomal RNA, internal transcribed spacer 1, and 5.8S ribosomal RNA". The stretch from base 1 to 73 matches the Rfam family "Eukaryotic small subunit ribosomal RNA", at positions 1759 to 1831 of the family's 1831-position model. Lineage: Eukaryota; Fungi. The record is from RNAcentral.
GCAAACUUGGUCAUUUAGAGGAAGUAAAAGUCGUAACAAGGUUUCCGUAGGUGAACCUGCGGAAGGAUCAUUAUCGAAUGAACAUAGAGUCUGGUUGUAGCUGGCCUGCAAAAGGCAUGUGCACGCCUCUCUCUUUCAUCCACACACCCCUGUGCACCUGUGAGACAGAGGCCUGUUGUUUCCCUUUCAACGGGGGGGGAUUGGGCUUCUGUCUGCUGUCAUACAAACUCAAUUUAUUUAAUCUGAAUGUAAUUGAUGUUAACACAUCCUAUAUACUAAGUUUCAACAACGGAUCUCUUGGCUCUCGCAUCGAUGAAGAACGCAGC